UUUCCGUAGGUGAACCUGCGGAAGGAUCAUUAAAAAUGAAGCCGGGAAACCGGUCCUUCUCACCCUUGAUUAUCUCAAAUUGUUGCUUUGGUGGGCCGCGCAAGCACCGGCUUCGGCUGGAUCGUGCCCGCCAGAGGACCACAACUCUGUAUUAUAUGCCGUCUGAGUACUAUAAAAUAGUUAAAACUUUCAACAACGGAUCUCUUGGUUCUG
RNAcentral lists this unclassified non-coding RNA (213 nucleotides) under plant metagenome. RNAcentral's name for it is "partial contains small subunit ribosomal RNA, internal transcribed spacer 1, and 5.8S ribosomal RNA". The record is from RNAcentral.